UAAUACGUAGGCAGCGAGCGUUGUUCGGAAUUACUGGGCGUAAAGAGUGUGUAGGCGGUGCUCUAAGUUUGGUGUGAAAUCUCCUGGCUUAACUGGGAGGGUGCGCCGAAAACUGGAGUGCUCGAGCGUGGGAGAGGAAAGCGGAAUUCCUGGUGUAGCGGUGAAAUGCGUAGAUAUCAGGAGGAACACCUGUGGUGUAGACGGCUUUCUGGACCAUAGCUGACGCUGAGACACGAAAGCGUGGGUAGCAAACAGGAUUAGAUACCCUGGUAGUCCACGCCCUAAACGAUGCAUACUUGGUGUCGGCCAUUCAGUUGGUCGGUGCCGGAGCUAACGCGUUAAGUAUGCCGCCUGGGGAGUACGGUCGCAAGGCU
Molecule: ribosomal RNA, 374 nt
Filed under: uncultured bacterium
Lineage: Bacteria
Description: bacterial SSU rRNA
Rfam family: Bacterial small subunit ribosomal RNA
Source: RNAcentral